GAUGAACGCUGACAGAAUGCUUAACACAUGCAAGUCAACUGUGGCGGACGGGUGAGUAACGCGUAAAGAACUUGCCUCACAGAUAGGGACAACAUUUGGAAACGAAUGCUAAUACCUGAUACUGUGAGAUAGCUUUUCGUCCCAUUAGCUAGUUGGAGAGGUAACGGCUCACCAAGGCGAUGAUGGGUAGCCGGCCUGAGAGGGUGAUCGGCCAAAAGGGGAAUGAGACACGGCCCUUACGCCGACGGGAGGCAGCAGUGGGGAAGAUUGGACAAUGGACCAAAGUCUGAGCCAGCAAUUCUGUGUGAACGAUGAAGUUUUCGGAAUGUAAAGUGCUUUCAGUUGGGAAGCGGUACCAACAGAAGAAGUGACGGCUAAAUACGUGCCAGCAGCCGCGGUAAUUC
RNAcentral lists this ribosomal RNA (404 nucleotides) under uncultured bacterium. Its description in RNAcentral is "partial 16S ribosomal RNA". It matches the Rfam family "Bacterial small subunit ribosomal RNA", at positions 28 to 526 of the family's 1533-position model. The record is from RNAcentral.